Molecule: ribosomal RNA, 394 nt
Filed under: uncultured bacterium
Lineage: Bacteria
Description: bacterial SSU rRNA
Rfam family: Bacterial small subunit ribosomal RNA
Source: RNAcentral
UGCGUGGGGGCACCCUGACCGCCUGCCGCGUGAGUGAAGAAGGCCUUCGGGUUGUAAAGCUCUUUCGGACGGAACGAAAUGGGCGGGACUAAUACUCCUGUCUGAUGACGGUACCGUAAGAAGAAGCACCGGCUAACUACGUGCCAGCAGCCGCGGUAAUACGUAGGGUGCGAGCGUUAAUCGGAAUUACUGGGCGUAAAGCGUGCGCAGGCGGUUUCGUAAGCUGGAGGUGAAAUCCCCGGGCUUAACCUGGGAAUGGCCUUCAGGACUGCGAGGCUAGAGUGCGGCAGAGGGAGGUGGAAUUCCACGUGUAGCAGUGAAAUGCGUAGAGAUGUGGAGGAACACCGAUGGCGAAGGCAGCCUCCUGGGCCAGCACUGACGCUCAUGCACGAAA